This 293-nucleotide ribosomal RNA is filed under the name uncultured microorganism. Its description in RNAcentral is "partial 16S ribosomal RNA". It matches the Rfam family "Bacterial small subunit ribosomal RNA", at positions 505 to 796 of the family's 1533-position model. The record is from RNAcentral.
GUGCCAGCAGCCGCGGUAAUACGUAGGGUGCGAGCGUUGUCCGGAAUUAUUGGGCGUAAAGGGCUCGUAGGCGGUUUGUCGCGUCGGGAGUGAAAACACUGGGCUUAACUCAGUGCUGGCUUCCGAUACGGGCAGACUAGAGGUAUGCAGGGGAGAACGGAAUUCCUGGGUGUAGCGGUGAAAUGCGCAGAUAUCAGGAGGAACACCGGUGGCGAAGGCGGUUCUCUGGGCAUUACCUGACGCUGAGGAGCGAAAGUGUGGGGAGCGAACAGGAUUAGAUACCCUGGUAGUCC